RNAcentral lists this ribosomal RNA (484 nucleotides) under uncultured bacterium. RNAcentral describes it as "partial 16S ribosomal RNA". It matches the Rfam family "Bacterial small subunit ribosomal RNA", at positions 30 to 507 of the family's 1533-position model. The record is from RNAcentral.
AUUGAACGCUGGCGGCAGGCCUAACACAUGCAAGUCGAGCGGAUGAAGGGAGCUUGCUCCUGGAUUCAGCGGCGGACGGGUGAGUAAUGCCUAGGAAUCUGCCUGGUAGUGGGGGAUAACGUCCGGAAACGGGCGCUAAUACCGCAUACGUCCUGAGGGAGAAAGUGGGGGAUCUUCGGACCUCACGCUAUCAGAUGAGCCUAGGUCGGAUUAGCUAGUUGGUGGGGUAAAGGCCUACCAAGGCGACGAUCCGUAACUGGUCUGAGAGGAUGAUCAGUCACACUGGAACUGAGACACGGUCCAGACUCCUACGGAAGGCAGCAGUGGGGAAUAUUGGACAAAGGGCGAAAGCCUGAUCCAGCCAUGCCGCGUGUGUGAAGAAGGUCUUCGGAUUGUAAAGCACUUUAAGUUGGGAGGAAGGGCAGUAAGUUAAUACCUUGCUGUUUUGACGUUACCAACAGAAUAAGCACCGGCUAACUUCGUG